This is a long non-coding RNA of Eriocheir sinensis (Chinese mitten crab), 150 nucleotides long. RefSeq lists it as uncharacterized. NCBI's taxonomy places the organism in Eukaryota, Metazoa, Arthropoda, Malacostraca, Decapoda, Varunidae. The record is from RefSeq and is a predicted model, not a curated record. The transcript has 3 exons.
AUUUCCAGGGGCAAGGUUAACAUUUCCAGGGGCUAGGAUAACAUUUCCAGGGGCAAGGUUAACAUUUCCAGGGGCAAGGUUAACAUUUCCAGGGGCUAGGUUAACAUUUCCAUGGGCUAGGUUAACAUUUCCAGGGGCUAGGUUAACAUU